GCCCUCUGACACAUGCCACUGGCCAAUCUGAGGAGAUCAAUAGGAGAGGACUGGGAAGACAUUGGGGGUGGAUUUUCCCCCAAGGAGGAGGUGAUCUGGGGAACUUGGAGAACUGUGAAUGUUUUUUAGGGCAUUGGGAUCAGGAGAUAAAUAAAGUAUCACAGAUUUCUGUGCCUGGAAGACACUUGAGAGGCCAUUUCUCUGCCCUCGGGUGGAAGUGCAUUCAAUUCAUGGACAGAAAGGAGAACGAGAAAGACAGCCAUGGGCCCUGAGCCCUCUGUUUCCAAGCCCACCGAGCUCUGGGGAGGUGCUUAUCCAAACAAGCAGGUCCCCAAAGACUCAUCUGUUGCUUAUUUGUUCCUGGCCGUGGAGCUGUCAUGGGUAGAGAUUUAGUCUCAGAGCCAAGAAGAAUUCAUGCUGGCUGUGUGACCCUGGGCAGAUCACAACUUUCCCCAUCAAGGUUUUGACAUAUCGAGAGUUGGCAUAAGAAAUUAAGUGGGAAUUUUUGGAGAAUUUUGCAGAAGCCGCAGACAACACAGAAAGAAGUUCAGAAACUUAGAAAAUACAUAAAGUCUGAAUGGAAGAUCUCCACUGGUAGAUUACUCCCAAUCUCUCAAGCCUGGUGUUUUAAUUUACAUUUAGGGCCUCCAUGCCCAGGGGUGAUCCUCCUAUAUCUUCAUCAUGCCUGGAAAGGGGACUGUCAUGGAAUCUUGAUUGGAUCAAGUCUACCCUCAAGCCCAGGCCUUUUCUAUACAAUGAAUCCCACCCAUACUCCUUGGUCACUACUGUCCCCUAGUAGGGUGAACUCAAGGUGUAUUUGGAGAAUAAAGACAUCAAUUACAUGGUGAU
Phascolarctos cinereus (koala) is the source of this 849-nucleotide non-coding RNA. The record is from RefSeq and is a predicted model, not a curated record. NCBI's taxonomy places the organism in Eukaryota, Metazoa, Chordata, Mammalia, Diprotodontia, Phascolarctidae.